CCCACUCAACCACCAGGAGGUUGACAGCACCUGUUGCACCAGUGCUUCCCCGCUGGGCUAAGGAUACACUUUUGCAUUAUGGCCUCGCUGCAGGAAAAGCUCAACAAGAUCAAAUCGCCCAAGCUGCAAAACCAGCACCAUACUUCAGUGGUCCUCUCAGCCGUCGAAGAUACACUCCGCGACCAACAUGCUGACUUCACCGCAACCGCAUACUUCGCCGCCCUCCUCGCCCUCCUCGGCCAGGCCGUAUCCUCAACCGAAGGCAUCGUAAACAAGGAGCUCGCAACUUCAAUAGUCUACCUCCUCGACACAGUCGCCCCUUUCGUCCCCACCGCUCUUCUCGUCUCCAAGUUCUCCC
Molecule: small RNA, 358 nt
Filed under: Histoplasma capsulatum
Lineage: Eukaryota; Fungi; Ascomycota; Eurotiomycetes; Onygenales; Ajellomycetaceae
Also listed under: 1 other name
Description: hypothetical RNA
Source: RNAcentral